GAUGAACGCUAGCUACAGGCUUAACACAUGCAAGUCGAGGGGAAACGACAUCGAAAGCUUGCUUUUGAUGGGCGUCGACCGGCGCACGGGUGAGUAACGCGUAUCCAACCUGCCCAUCACUUGGGAAUAACCUUGCGAAAGUAAGACUAAUACCCAAUGAUAUCCCACGAAGGCAUCGGAAUGGGAUUAAAGAUUUAUCGGUGAUGGAUGGGGAUGCGUCUGAUUAGCUUGUUGGCGGGGUAACGGCCCACCAAGGCAACGAUCAGUAGGGGUUCUGAGAGGAAGGUCCCCCACAUUGGAACUGAGACACGGUCCAAACUCCUACGGGAGGCAGCAGUGAGGAAUAUUGGUCAAUGGGCGAGAGCCUGAACCAGCCAAGUAGCGUGCAGGAAGACGGCCCUAUGGGUGGUAAACUGCUUUUAGAAGGGAAUAAAGUGGGUCACGUGUGACUUUUUGCAUGUACCUUAUGAAUAAGGACCGGCUAAUUCCGUG
Molecule: ribosomal RNA, 492 nt
Filed under: uncultured bacterium
Lineage: Bacteria
Description: partial 16S ribosomal RNA
Rfam family: Bacterial small subunit ribosomal RNA
Source: RNAcentral